This 91-nucleotide non-coding RNA is filed under the name Brochothrix campestris FSL F6-1037. RNAcentral's name for it is "Bacterial small subunit ribosomal RNA". It matches the Rfam family "Bacterial small subunit ribosomal RNA", at positions 1 to 88 of the family's 1533-position model. The record is from Rfam by way of RNAcentral. Lineage: Bacteria; Bacillati; Bacillota; Bacilli; Caryophanales; Listeriaceae.
UUUAACGAGAGUUUGAUCCUGGCUCAGGACGAACGCUGGCGGCGUGCCUAAUACAUGCAAGUCGAACGAACGGAUAAGGAGCUUGCUCCUU